Molecule: ribosomal RNA, 2411 nt
Filed under: Paraturbanella teissieri
Lineage: Eukaryota; Metazoa; Gastrotricha; Macrodasyida; Turbanellidae
Description: eukaryotic LSU rRNA
Rfam family: Eukaryotic large subunit ribosomal RNA
Source: RNAcentral
CAUAUCACUCAGCGGAGGAAAAGAAAGUAACUACGAUUCGGUUAGUAGCGGCGAGUGAACACCGAAGAGCCCAGCACCGAAUCCGUGUCGUCGUCUCAGGCGCGCGGACAUGUGGUGUUACGGAGCAGGCGCGGCGAAUCUUGCGCCAGCCAAGUCCGCACGAAAGCGGCCGUUGCCAUAGAAGGUGCCAGUCCUGUACGGCCGGCGCAGGUGCGCUCUGUCUGCUCCAUCGAGUCGGGUUGUUUGGGAAUGCAGCCCCAAGCAGCUGGUAGACACCAGCUAAGGCUAAAUAUUAGUACGAGUCCGAUAGCGAACAAGUACCGUGAGGGACAGUUGAAAAGGACUUUGCAGAGAGAGUUAACAGUACGUGAAACCGUUCAGAGGAAAACGGGUGAAAUCGUAAAGGUGGCGUACAGUUCAGGGCUGGUGCGCGCUUUGCGCGUACGUGCUGCUCCGAUUCGUAUUCGAACGGCGGCGCGUGCGCUGCAAUGCCGAUCGGCCUGCACUCUGUACGUCACGCGCCGCAACCGGUGGCGUCUCAACAUCGGCCCGGCGGGAAGGUAGCUGUGCUCGGCCAUGUGUCGUUCGCAGUGUUAAGACCGCCGUGUGUCGGGUACGAGGCGCUACCGAGGCUGCUGUAUCGUUCUCGCCCCUCAAGGGCGCCGUCCGGCCCGUGCGUAAACGAGCACGUCGUUCGCUUGCCUGGCAACUGAGCGACGAUGUAAGGGUGCGCGCGUGUCGCUGCGGCGUGAGAGCGACAGGUUAGCGGCGUUUGUCGGACCUUCACCCGACCCGUCUUGAAACACGGACCAAGGAGUCUAGCAUGUGCGCGAGUCAUUGGGCACUCUUUGAAACCCACAGGCGCAAUGAAAGUAAAUGCAGGUGGGAUCGUGCACCGCCGCAGCAAUGCGGUUGGUGUGCGCGCACCACCGGCUCGUUCACAUCUCACGCGGAUGGGGCGACGCACGAGCGCACAUGCUGGGACCCGAAAGAUGGUGAACUAUGGCUGGUCAGGAUGAAGCCAGAGGAAACUCUGGUGGAAGUCCGUAGCGAUUCUGACGUGCAAAUCGAUCGUCAAAGCUGGCUAUAGGGGCGAAAGACUAAUCGAACCAUCUAGUAGCUGGUUCCCUCCGAAGUUUCCCUCAGGAUAGCUGGCGCUCUCGCAAGCAGUUUCAUCCGGUAAAGCGAAUGAUUAGAGGCAUUGGGGACGAAACGACCUCAACCUAUUCUCAAACUUUCAAUGGGUGAGAAGCCCGACUCGCUUGUUUGGAGUCGGGCGUCGAAUGUGAGUGCCUAGUGGGCCAUUUUUGGUAAGCAGAAUUGGCGCUGUGGGAUGAACCAAACGCUCGGUUAAGGCGCCGAACGACGACGCUCAUCAGAUACCAUAAAAGGUGUUGAUUGAUCCAGACAGCAGGUCGGUGGCCAUGGAAGUCGGAAUCCGCUAAGGAGUGUGUAACAACUCACCUGCCGAAUCAAUUAGCCCUGAAAAUGGAUGGCGCUAGAGCGUCGGGCCUAUACCGUGCCGUUGUCGCACGCGUGCAGUGCAACAGCCGUCGACUGUCAUGCGACAACGAGUAGGAGGGUCGCGGCGGUACGCAUAGAAGCCGUGAGCGUGAGCUCGGGUCGAGCUGCCGCCGGUGCAGAUCUUGGUGGUAGUAGCAAGUAUUCAAAAGAGAACUUUGAAGGCCGAAGUGGAGAAGGGUUCCAUGUGAACAGCAGUUGAACAUGGGUCAGUCGAUCCUAAGAGAAGGGAAAACUCCGUUCAGAAAUCGGAACUGCGCUCUCGAGCGCGCUUCGUUGUCCGAUGUGAAUCGAAAGGGAAUCGGGUUAAUAUUCCCGAACUCGGCGCGGAGAUUGGUCCUCCGGGCCACGAGCGGUAACGCAAACAAACUCGGAGACGUUGGCACUAGCCCCGGGAAGAGAUGCCUUUUCUUUGUAAGGGUCAGACUCCAUGGAAUCGGUUCGACCGGCGAGAUGGACGUUGUACCCGUAAAGCACCGCGGUUCCUGCAGUGUCCGGUGCGCUCGUGCCGACCCUUGAAAAUCCGAGGGAGUCGUAAUAAUGUUCGUGCCGAACCGUACCCAUAUCCGCAUCAGGUCUCCAAGGUCAACAGCCUCUGGCCAACUGAAUAAUGCAGGCAAGGGAAGUCGGCAAACUAGAUCCGUAACUUCGGGAAAAGGAUUGGCUCUAAGGGCUGGGCUUGUCGGGCUGUAGCACGAAGCGAGAAUCGGACCGGAGUGGGGCUGAUCUUUGCCGGGCGUCCCGCUGCGUGACUGCGUCGCUCCGCGGCGUACGCUGCGCGGCGGCGCCGGGCGUCGAUCGGACCGUUACCGGGACGAGCUCGUGAACUGCUGCAGCUACGGGGUGCGUCUCGUGCGUGCCCUUCGGCAGGCGCUUAACAGCCAACUAGA